Astyanax mexicanus (Mexican tetra) is the source of this 336-nucleotide long non-coding RNA. RefSeq lists it as uncharacterized. The transcript is spliced from 3 exons. NCBI's taxonomy places the organism in Eukaryota, Metazoa, Chordata, Actinopteri, Characiformes, Acestrorhamphidae. The record is from RefSeq and is a predicted model, not a curated record.
GGGUACAGCAAGAUAUAGUGAGGUACAGCAGGCUUUAGAGUGGGGGCAGUGAGGUAGAGCAAGGUUAGAAUGAAGGAUGGUGAGGUAGAGUGGGGGACAGUGAGGUAGAGCAAGGUUAGAAUGAAGGAUGGUGAGGUAGAGUGGGGGACAGUGAGGUAGAGCAAGGUUAGAAUGAAGGAUGGUGAGGUAGAGUGGGGGACAGUGAGGUAGAGCAAGGUUAGAAUGAAGGAUGGUGAGGUAGAGUGGGGGACAGUGAGGUAGAGCAAGGUUAGAAUGAAGGAUGGUGAGGUAGAGUGGGGGACAGUGAGGUAGAGCAAGGUUAGAAUGAAGGAUGGU